Molecule: long non-coding RNA, 443 nt
Organism: Tupaia belangeri chinensis (Chinese tree shrew)
Lineage: Eukaryota; Metazoa; Chordata; Mammalia; Scandentia; Tupaiidae
Exons: 3
Source: RefSeq, a predicted model, not a curated record
GAACCACCUCUCCCUUCCAAAUUCUUCUCUGUAUUUCAUGCCCAGGAAAAACUCUGGGUUCCCAAGAAAGAGUCGAAUGACCGUCCUUCUCGCUGGACCCGCGGAGUUUCUACGCAGUGUCUACCCCGGAAGGAGUGAGACUUCAGAAAGUUAUAAUCACGUUUGUGCCUGAGGGAGGUCGAACAAUUUCCAAUGUGAAAAAAGGGAACACUGUCCCACUCACAGUCUUAAGGCAAGGAAACUGAGCCUCAGAGAAGGAAAACCUCUACUGAGUGUUUAUUUACCGUGUAGACAUUUUCCUCAUGACAUCUCUGUGUGCUUCCAAGACAACAGCUUGUGACUCUCAAAAUGAUGAAUGGCCUUGGGCUGUCUCUGUGGCCUGGUGGUUAAGACAGCUAGAUCCUGCAUGGCCUAUCCUGUGGUUGAAGUCCUGGACCUAGCAG